AUCCAGCUGACAAGUCCUGAAUAAGACGAAACGUGCGUCCUGGAU
Molecule: non-coding RNA, 45 nt
Organism: Schistosoma rodhaini
Lineage: Eukaryota; Metazoa; Platyhelminthes; Trematoda; Strigeidida; Schistosomatidae
Source: Rfam